This 433-nucleotide ribosomal RNA is filed under the name uncultured bacterium. RNAcentral describes it as "partial 16S ribosomal RNA". It matches the Rfam family "Bacterial small subunit ribosomal RNA", at positions 29 to 507 of the family's 1533-position model. The record is from RNAcentral.
AACGAACGCUGGCGGCAUGCCUAACACAUGCAAGUCGAACGAGACCUUCGGGUCUAGUGGCGCACGGGUGCGUAACGCGUGGGAACCUGCCCUUAGGUUCGGAAUAACUCCCCGAAAGGGGUGCUAAUACCGGAUAAUGUCUUCGGACCAAAGAUUUAUCGCCUUUGGAUGGGCCCGCGUUGGAUUAGCUAGUUGGUAGGGUAAAAGCCUACCAAGGCGACGAUCCAUAGCUGGUCUGAGAGGAUGAUCAGCCACACUGGGACUGAGACACGGCCCAGACUCCUACGGGAGGCAGCAGUGGGGAAUAUUGGACAAGGGGCGAAAGCCUGAUCCCGCAAUGCCGCGUGAGUGAUGAAGGCCUUAGGGUUGUAAAGCUCUUUUACCCGGGAUGAUAAUGACAGUACCGGGAGAAUAAGCUCCGGCUAACUCCGUG